UACAGUUUAAUCUAGAACUCUGUUCUCUUCAAGAGUUGAUCAUUCCCAUGCCCUGGACAUCACUGUGCAUGAGCUGAUCUUAGAAUUUGGUUGUAUAAGUCUCCUCUGAAAUGCCACAAUGGAAGAUACUAAGUCUGCAGGAAAUUCCACACCACUAAAUCUGGACAGACAAGCAUUAGCCAGCUGGCCCUGGAGAUUCCACAGGGAAGAAAGUGCAGCCCAGGUCUGAAUGAACCUCUUGCUGGCUUUGAGGGACCAUGAUCACAUGAGAAUUCUGACUGUUACUACAAGAGAAAAUAAGCAUCAGACUGAUCCCAGACAUACCAUUAUAAUCUUUACCAGGUCUAGGGUAGGUCUUUUUUAACCUCCAAAAGGGGUAUCCAAUUUUCACUCUUUUGAGAUCUUCCUGUUCUUUUCAGCCUUCCCCUAACACACAUCCUCUUCUACCAACACAGCUUACUUUGCAAAUUCUGAAGUUCUGGUGAAGGCAGGCUUCCUACUGCUUUGGAAUUGGAGUUGACUAUGCUCAAAAUCAUAUAUGAAACAAGAGGAACUGAAAGAACAUAGAACUGUAAAACUGGACUUCAGUACCGAGCUCUGAAAUUGGAGCAAGUUCCCUAACUUCUCUCAGCCCCAGGCCCAUCACACAUAAUUCUUCUACCACUGAGGUAUGGGGAAGACUAUAGAGAUCAUGUUCAUGAGACAUCUCCCAUGGUGCCUGACACCUACAAGAACUCCACUUAAGGAUAGUAGGAUUGAAUAGAGUUGUGUUAAAGAAUGAGCUGAGGGAAUAUGUUGGGGUAUGGGGGGCCAAUAAGAAACACUAAAAUGAUAGAACAAAAGACAAAUUUUCUGCCAAAAAAAAAAAAAAAAUGGACUGGCUUUUCUGGGUAAAGUGUAGUUUUUCUCAGUCAGCAAGGCAUAUAGCUGCAGUAACAACUUCUUCCACUGUAUGAACUACUCAGUUCAAAAUGUAGCUUAGAAUUGCAGUGCAAAUGGAAAAUAUAUAGUGAAAUGGUUUUCUUUAUUUUAUACUAAUAAAGGUUUUAGAAGGUAUAGCCAGCAGAAAACACGAACACAAUUGCAUUUUUUUUGUUGUUGUUGUUGUUAUCAGAGACAACCCAUGAUAAUAUCCUGAUAUUUUCCCCUCUACAGUGCUGAGAACCCAGGACAUUGUGCAUUCUAGACAAGUACUCUACCACUGAGCUAUACCCCCAGCCCUGCCAUCCUGAUUUCUUUGCUUAAGUUUCCUCUGACCACUCUACAGAGUUCUCUAUGACCCAGAUCUUGCCCCCGGAAGACAUUUCACUUCAUUCCUUCAUAGAAUAUGUCAUAUAAUCAUUUGUCCUCCUGCCCCAUUCUACAGGCAUCCACCUCAUGCAUUCAUUCUUUCUGUCUUUCCCCCAAAUACUUGUCAAGAUUAUGUUUUAUAUUUUUAAGUAAUGUAUUUCAACAUGCAUGAUUUCAAAUUAGGAAUUAUAUGCUUUCCUUUAAGUAAGAAUUUCUCAAUAGAACUAAUUAUACAAUUAUGUCUGCUUUGUAAAAGAGAAAUCAUAAAGAAAUGAGAUCAUAUUUCUAGGGAAAUAACAAGUCAAAAUUCACAUGCAUGCAAUUCUACUUUGAUUUGCUUGGCGUAUGACCAACUGUGGUUCAAAAACAUUCUUGCUUAUUCUUAAACCAGUGUUUUAUUGUUUUCAAAUAAAUAAAACAAAGGGAAAGUUGAUUUAACUAUGGGGGAAAUUAUUUAAGCAAGUGGAAAUGGAAUGAGAAAAGCAAGUAGAACUAAAACACAGCAAAUCUUAUUUCAAAGUUCUGAUGUGCACCAAACAUCAAUAUUUUUCCAUUGCACAAAUAUGUUUGUGAUGCUGAAAUUUCCUUCUUGGUUAAUGAUGUUUAAGUGAAACAAAUAAAGUAUUGCUGCCAUCAUCAUCUGA
This is a long non-coding RNA of Marmota monax (woodchuck), 1934 nucleotides long. RefSeq lists it as uncharacterized. NCBI's taxonomy places the organism in Eukaryota, Metazoa, Chordata, Mammalia, Rodentia, Sciuridae. The transcript is spliced from 2 exons. The record is from RefSeq and is a predicted model, not a curated record.